Non-coding RNA from Poecilia reticulata (guppy), 518 nucleotides. NCBI's taxonomy places the organism in Eukaryota, Metazoa, Chordata, Actinopteri, Cyprinodontiformes, Poeciliidae. The record is from RefSeq and is a predicted model, not a curated record.
AUAACACAAAUGGCGCAGUGAGCCCUCUCUACUGGUUAACCUAUCACUCACAGCAGAGCGCUGAACAGACUGCGCAAUUCACAAACAGUGAGUUGCGACAAGAUAUUUUCCGUGACGUGAUCGUCACAUGUCACGGUAUGGUUUCAGAACACAAACUUAAGGAACAAAGGUGGGACGUUCAUCAUGAAGGUCAGCAGUGCAGGCGAAUGUUGUUGCAGCAGUGCCUUCUUCACAAUUUGGCAUCCUGGCCAAUGACCUAUGAGGCACACGCCAAGAACAGCCUAAGCCUACUACGAGGUCGGCUAAGGACCUGUAUCCACUAGGACAUUGGGUCAGAGCUUCUGCUUCUCUGCAUCAAAAUAAGAAUUGUGAGAAGGUUUGGCCAUGUGAUCCGAGUCACAAAACACCUGAGAACAGAAAGAAAGGAAUCUCUUCAUCCAGCCGACACCUCCAUCCACUACAGUUCCUUUUACUUGUCUGUCUGAGAAUGUUCACUAUGAAGAUUUCCUUUACCUUUG